UAUAAUAAAAACUGUUUAAAAAUAAUAAUUUUUUCAGUCAGUCCGAGUCCACCCAAAAGCUGACAAAGGUGUAAAAGGACAAGUGGGCGCUCCGAUGCCAGGCACAGUAACUGAAAUAAGAGUCAAGCUCGGAACCAAAGUCAAACCCGGCGAUGCACUUGUAGUUCUAUCUGCGAUGAAAAUGGAAAUGAUAGUGCAAUCACCACUGGAAGGCACCGUAAAAUCAGUUAAUGCCACUGUUGGACAAAAAGUAGAANGCGAAGAUUUGCUUGUUUAUAUUGAAAAAUAAAGCCAUUCUCCCUUA
This is a long non-coding RNA of Cimex lectularius (bed bug), 304 nucleotides long. RefSeq lists it as uncharacterized. The record is from RefSeq and is a predicted model, not a curated record. The transcript has 2 exons. Lineage: Eukaryota; Metazoa; Arthropoda; Insecta; Hemiptera; Cimicidae.